This is a long non-coding RNA of Oreochromis aureus, 1173 nucleotides long. The record is from Ensembl. NCBI's taxonomy places the organism in Eukaryota, Metazoa, Chordata, Actinopteri, Cichliformes, Cichlidae.
CUUUGUUAUUCUUUCUUGUUUUCACUUUAUUUGUAUAAAUGUAUUUUCAUUCUUUUAUUUUGAAAAGCAACAUUUAUUUUGAAAAAAAGGAAGUGUGAUCCUCCAGCAAACUUUAUUUUUCCUGUUGCCGGAUCACAAGGGAUAAAUGCCUUUUUCAUUGGUUGAAGGUGGUUUUAGCCCCGUCUUCCAAAACACCAGACCAUCAUUUCACAUGAGCUAGGUCUUUUCGCACGUGGAAGUAGAUGAGACAGGCCACGGAUAGCUCGUGCGGAAUUUUAUAUCAUUUUGCUCCUUGUCUCAGAGUGGGAGGGAUUUGAAGCACAAAGGGAGGAGCUUGUUGUUUGGUUGGCUGAUAUGGAUGUCCACCUGGGUGAGGCUGACCAGCUGACAGGAAACACCUGUGAAAAACUGAAACAACUGCAGCUGUGGCUGGAAAAGAGAAAGGCGUUCAGAAGCGGAGACAGGGACUGCUACAGAGAGGCCAAGUACAGGUUCACUAAAGAAGUGGACAUUGCUAAACAUCAGCACUCUGAGAAGAUGCAGCAGCAGAUCUCAGAGAAUGACUCGGCCUCUGUCUGGAAAAGUUUUAGGAAUAGGGCUUUGGAGCGUGAUGUCACAGGAGGGGGGCCACGCCCCCUCCCGCCAUGACAGUAGGCCAAACGAAGCACACGGAAGCAUCAGCUAUGGUUCGUACGUACUGUGUUGUCGGUUGCAACGUUAGAUCACACGAUAGGGAAGGCAAGAAGCUGGGAAAUGGGCUCUCUUUUCAUCGUUUCCCUUCAUGGAGGCAACAGGAGGGAUCUCAUAUAUCCGAUAUUACUAAACGAAGACGUCAGGCUUGGAUUGCAGCGGUCAAACUCGGACCGGCACGCAAGGCGAGUGCAACAAAAGCGAAAAAGAGCACCCAGCGGAGCUGCAGAGUAUGAAGGUGUGCCCCGUGCAGAAGUAAUAGAUGAAGAUCUGACAGAAGACCAACAACAAAAUCACCAUGUCAUGAAGGCUGUGGACAGGAGUUACUCAUAUCAUGUGAGGGUGAAGACACAACACUGCUUGAUAAGAAUGUUAAGGUGUGCUGUGUUUUGGUGAAUAUGUGCCCCAGUGUGGUUGUCAAACCAGGGCCAAAUGAAACUUGCUCUUGUUGAAUAUUCAUAAAACUGCUGUGUUGCAUGUACA